This 631-nucleotide ribosomal RNA is filed under the name Klebsiella pneumoniae. RNAcentral's name for it is "bacterial SSU rRNA". It matches the Rfam family "Bacterial small subunit ribosomal RNA", at positions 537 to 1171 of the family's 1533-position model. The record is from RNAcentral. Lineage: Bacteria; Pseudomonadati; Pseudomonadota; Gammaproteobacteria; Enterobacterales; Enterobacteriaceae.
AGCGUUAUCGGAUUACUGGGCGUAAGCGCACGCAGGCGGUCUGUCAGUCGGAUCUGUGAAAUCCCCGGGCUCAACCUGGGAACUGCAUUCGAAACUGGCAGGCUAGAGUCUUGUAGAGGGGGGUAGAAUUCCAGGUGUAGCGGUGAUAUGCGUAGAGAUCUGGAGGAAUACCGGUGGCGAAGGCGGCCCCCUGGACAAAGACUGACGCUCAGGUGCGAAAGCGUGGGGAGCAAACAGGAUUAGAUACCCUGGUAGUCCACGCCGUAAACGAUGUCGAUUUGGAGGUUGUGCCCUUGAGGCGUGGCUUCCGGAGCUAACGCGUUAAAUCGACCGCCUGGGGAGUACGGCCGCAAGGUUAAAACUCAAAUGAAUUGACGGGGGCCCGCACAAGCGGUGGAGCAUGUGGUUUAAUUCGAUGCAACGCGAAGAACCUUACCUGGUCUUGACAUCCACAGAACUUUCCAGAGAUGCUUUGGUGCCUUCGGGAACUGUGAGACAGUGCUGCAUGGCUGUCGUCAGCUCGUGUUGUGAAAUGUUGGGUUAAGUCCCGCAACGAGCGCAACCCUUAUCCUUUGUUGCCAGCGGUUCGGCCGGGAACUCAAAGGAGACUGCCAGUGAUAAACUGGAGAAA